This 482-nucleotide ribosomal RNA is filed under the name Lactobacillus gasseri. Its description in RNAcentral is "bacterial SSU rRNA". It matches the Rfam family "Bacterial small subunit ribosomal RNA", at positions 28 to 479 of the family's 1533-position model. Lineage: Bacteria; Bacillati; Bacillota; Bacilli; Lactobacillales; Lactobacillaceae. The record is from RNAcentral.
GACGAACGCUGGCGGCGUGCCUAAUACAUGCAAGUCGAGCGAGCUUGCCUAGAUGAAUUUGGUGCUUGCACCAAAUGAAACUAGAUACAAGCGAGCGGCGGACGGGUGAGUAACACGUGGGUAACCUGCCCAAGAGACUGGGAUAACACCUGGAAACAGAUGCUAAUACCGGAUAACAACACUAGACGCAUGUCUAGAGUUUAAAAGAUGGUUCUGCUAUCACUCUUGGAUGGACCUGCGGUGCAUUAGCUAGUUGGUAAGGUAACGGCUUACCAAGGCAAUGAUGCAUAGCCGAGUUGAGAGACUGAUCGGCCACAUUGGGACUGAGACACGGCCCCAACUCCUACGGGAGGCAGCAGUAGGGAAUCUUCCACAAUGGACGCAAGUCUGAUGGAGCAACGCCGCGUGAGUGAAGAAGGGUUUCGGCUCGUAAAGCUCUGUUGGUAGUGAAGAAAGAUACGAGGUAGUAAUCUGGCCUUAGU